CGAAAGCCUGACGGAGCAACGCCGCGUGAGGGAUGAAGGCCUUUGGGCUGUAAACCUCUUUUCUCAAGGAAGAAGAUCUGACGGUACUUGAGGAAUAAGCCACGGCUAAUUCCGUGCCAGCAGCCGCGGUAAUACGGGAGUGGCAAGCGUUAUCCGGAAUUAUUGGGCGUAAAGCGUCCGCAGGCGGCCGUUUAAGUCUGUUGUUAAAUCGUGGAGCUCAACUCCAUCACGGCAAUGGAAACUGUUCGGCUUGAGUAUGGUAGGGGCAGAGGGAAUUUCCGGUGUAGCGGUGAAAUGCGUAGAUAUCGGGAAGAACACCAGUGGCGAAAGCGCUCUGCUGGACCAUUACUGACGCUCAUGGACGAAAGCCAGGGGAGCGAAAGGAUUAGAUACCCCUGUAGUCCUGGCCGUAAACGAUGAACACUAGAUGUUGGGGGAAUCGACCCCCUCGGUGACGUAGCUAACGCGUUAAGUGUUCCGCCUGGGGAGUACGCACGCAAGUGUGAAACUCAAAGGAAUUGACGGGGGCCCGCACAAGCGGUGGAGUAUGUGGUUUAAUUCGAUGCAACGCGAAGAACCUUACCAAGGCUUGACAUCCUGCGAAUCUCCGAGAAAUUGGAGAGUGCCUUCGGGAACGCAGUGACAGGUGGUGCAUGGCUGUCGUCAGCUCGUGUCGUGAGAUGUUGGGUUAAGUCCCGCAACGAGCGCAACCCACGUUUUUAGUUGCCAGCAUUCAGUUGGGCACUCUAGAAAGACUGCCGGUGACAACCGGAGGAAGGUGUGGACGACGUCAAGUCAUCAUGCCCCUUACGCCUUGGGCUACACACGUACUACAAUGCUGCGGACAAAGAGUAGCGAUCUUGCGAAAGUUAGCUAAUCUCGUAAACCGUGGCUCAGUUCAGAUCGUAGGCUGCAACUCGCCUACGUGAAGGAGGAAUCGCUAGUAAUCGCAGGUCAGCAUACUGCGGUGAAUACGUUCCCGGGCCUUGUACACACCGCCCGUCACACCAUGGAAGUUGGCCAUGCCCGAAGUCGUUACUCUAACCUUUUGGAAGAGGGCGCCGAAGGCAGGGCUGAUGACUGGGGUGAAGUCGUAACAAGGUAGCCGUAGCGGAAGCUGCGGCUGGAUCACCUCCUAA
RNAcentral lists this ribosomal RNA (1139 nucleotides) under Candidatus Synechococcus spongiarum. RNAcentral describes it as "bacterial SSU rRNA". It matches the Rfam family "Bacterial small subunit ribosomal RNA", at positions 376 to 1533 of the family's 1533-position model. Lineage: Bacteria; Bacillati; Cyanobacteriota; Cyanophyceae; Synechococcales; Synechococcaceae. The record is from RNAcentral.